Molecule: ribosomal RNA, 1277 nt
Filed under: human gut metagenome
Description: bacterial LSU rRNA
Rfam family: Bacterial large subunit ribosomal RNA
Source: RNAcentral
AGUGGUUGUAGACGCGAAACCUUGCGAUCUACCCUUGAGCAGGUUGAAGGUUGGGUAAAACCAACUGGAGGACCGAACGAAUAAGCGUUGAAAAGCUUCUCGAUGACUUGAGGGUAGGGGUGAAAGGCUAAUCAAGCUGGGAAAUAGCUCGUACUCCCCGAAAUGCCUUUUGGGGCAGCGUUGUAAUAAAGAGUCUACUGGAGGUAGAGCUACUGAUUGGAUGCGGGGGCUUCACCGCCUACCAAAUCCUGACAAACUCCGAAUGCCAGUAGUAUGAUUUACAGCAGUGAGUGACUGGGUGCUAAUGUCCAGUCGCAAAAGAGGAACAACUCAGACCAGCAACUAAGGUCCCGAAGAAUAUGCUAAGUUGAUCUAACGAUGUUUUGUUGCAGAGACAGCUAGGAUGUUAGCUUGGAAGCAGCUAUUCAUUCAAAGAGUGCGUAACAGCUCACUAGUCGAGCGACAGAGCGUGGAUAAUAAACGGGCAUCAAGCAUAUCACCGAAGUUCUGGGCGCGAGAGCGCGGUAGGGGAGCAUUCCAUUCAGCGUCGAAGCAGUUUCGUGAGGAAUUGUGGAGCGUAUGGAAAAGCAAAUGUAGGCAUGAGUAACGAUAAUGCGGGAGAGUAACCCGCACACCGCAAGACCAAGGUUUCCUGAUCAACGCUAAUCGGAUCAGGGUUAGUCGGGUCCUAAGGGUAAGCCGAACGGCGAUCUCGAUGGAUAAUCGGUUAAUAUUCCGAUACUAACAUAUACCUCGAUGGAGAGACGAAGGAACGUAAGUGCCGCCACCUGACGGAAUAGGUGGUUAAAGGGCGUAGGUAUAGGGGCAGAUUAAGAGUUAGUCCUUGCUGAAACCUGACAGUACAGAGAGCCUACGGGCAAUUUGAUAGAGCACCCAAGUCGACUUCCGAGAAAAUCUUCUAAGUUAUAGUAUAUGUUACCCGUACCGUAAACCGACACAGGUGGUCGAGGAGAGUAUCCUAAGGUGCUCGAGUGAAUCACGGUUAAGGAACUAGGCAAAUUAACCCCGUAACUUCGGGAAAAGGGGUCCCUAUGAAAGUAGGGCGCAGCGAAGAGGUCCAGGCGACUGUUUAUCAAAAACACAGGGCUCUGCAAAUUCGAAAGAAGACGUAUAGGGCCUGACACCUGCCCGGUGCUGGAAGGUUAAGAGGGGAUGUCAUCGCAAGAGAAGCAUUGAAUCGAAGCCCCAGUAAACGGCGGCCGUAACUAUAACGGUCCUAAGGUAGCGAAAUUCCUUGUCGGGUAAGUUCCGACCUG